Long non-coding RNA from Camelina sativa (false flax), 377 nucleotides. RefSeq lists it as uncharacterized. The record is from RefSeq and is a predicted model, not a curated record. NCBI's taxonomy places the organism in Eukaryota, Viridiplantae, Streptophyta, Magnoliopsida, Brassicales, Brassicaceae.
AAAUAGAUAAAAAAAUAUUAAGAGAAAGAGACCAAGGAAGACAUGGUGGGAGGUUAAAAUCUCCAGAACCCUAACGCCAAAGUCAUACUCGUUGGUUUUGGCUUUUAUCAACAACAAAAAAAAACAGAGUAUGAGAGAUAGAGUAAAGAACAUAAUAAUAAACGAUUCUCUCUUUAAUCAAACACACAACUUUAUUGAUAUGAGAAACUGAAUUGUAUUACAGACUUUUGUAUUGCAGGAAAUAGAGACUUGAUCUGUAUUUUUACGAGUGAAACAUUGUGUUGUGUAAUAAGAAAAGACAUGACUCUUCAUAAGACACAACAUAUAAAUCAUGACUCUUAACGUUUCGGGGGACGUUGUGUCGCCUUUGUAGAUGC